Long non-coding RNA from Bos taurus (domestic cattle), 1506 nucleotides. Lineage: Eukaryota; Metazoa; Chordata; Mammalia; Artiodactyla; Bovidae. The record is from Ensembl.
ACUCAAAGUUGUUGGUCUUACACUUGAGGCACCAGAAAAAUGAUGGCGCCUUCCAUGGAAACCAGAAACUCAGCAGAACAAGGGACAAACUGAUGAGUCCAGUUUGAGCCCACCUGAGUUUGAGAUGCUGGAGGACUGUCUAGCAGACAGCUGCAGUCAACAUGUAGCUUGGCAGAGAGGUCAGGCAUGAGAUGUUAAUUUAUAGAAAGCUCACACACAAAAAUGAGAUGAGAAAACAGAAGGCUGACGCUGCCAUGCAGAUACAAGCAGCAAAGGAGAGUCUCAGAGAGACGUUCUUCAGGACCCAUUAACAUUUAGAGAUCAAGGAGAAUGGAAGCGAUGUGAAUAGUAAUGGAGGUGUGCCUAAGCGAAGCUGAUCGAUGAAAAUGUUAAUGAACAAAAACAUCAAUCAAGAGCUUCAUAAAAUGAUUCUUCACAACAAAUUUAUCCAAAAUGCUUUAAUGUAACUUGACACCCAUCUAUUUCACCCUAUCCUUUUCCCCCACCUCAGCUAUGCUCUUGCCUUUUUUUAAAAAUUGUAGUGAAGUCAGUCCUGGGUAUUCAUUGGAAGGACUGAUGCUGAGGAACCGUCAUAAUAUUUUCCAUAGCAACUGCAUCAUCUUAUACAAGCAGUGCACAAAGAUUCCAAUUUCUCUAUAUCAUCAACAGUACUUGUUACCUUUUUGUUUUUUUGAUGUUAGGCAUCCUGAUAGAUAUGAUGCGAUAUCUUGUGGUUUUGAUUUGCAUUUUCCUAAUGAUUAGUGAUGUUGAGCAUCUUUUCAAGUGCUUAUUGGCUGGCUGUAUUUCCUCACUGGAAAAAUGUCAAUUCAAGUCCUUUGGUUACUUUUGAAUUUUUGCUGUUGUUAUUGUUAAGUUUUAAGAGUUCUUUAUGUAUUCAAUAUAUUAAUCCCUUAUCAGAUUUAUGAUUUGCAAAUAUUGUCUCCCAUUCUGUGGGCUGUCUUUUUACUCUGUUGAUCAUGUCCUUUUGAUGAACAAAAGUUUUUAAUUUUGAUGUCCAACUUGUCUAUUUUUUCUUCUGUUACCUGUGCUUCUGGUGUCAUAUUCAAGAAAUCAUUGCCAAAUCUAAUACCACUAUGAUUUCCUCCAGUGUUUUCUUCUAAGAGUCUUAUAGUUUUAGUUCUUAGGUCUUUGAUCCAUUUUCAGUUAAAUUUUGUGUAGGCUGAGAGAUAAGGGUCCAACUUUAUUCUUUUAUCAUGUGAAUAGCCUGUUUUUCCUACAUCAUUUGCCAAGACUGUCUUCUCGCUAUUGAAUGAUCUUGGCAACCUUGACCAUUUGCUGCAUGCGUAAUGGUUUAUUUCAGGGCUCUCUGUUCUGCAUCACCUCUAUUUCUGUCUUUUAGCCGGUACCAUAUUGUUUUGAUUACUAUAGCUUAAAGUACUAAGUUUUGAAGUCAGGAAGUAUAAAAGUUUGUUCUUUUUCAAUAUUCUGUUAGCUCUUUGGGGUCCUUUGUGAUUCUAUGUGAAUUUUACGAUGACUCUAUUUCUG